Molecule: small RNA, 381 nt
Filed under: Vigna angularis var. angularis
Lineage: Eukaryota; Viridiplantae; Streptophyta; Magnoliopsida; Fabales; Fabaceae
Description: Non-protein coding transcript
Source: RNAcentral
GAAACUAUCACUAAACCCCAACCUCCUUCCCCGCCUUCAUCAAAUUUUCCCCUAAACCCUUCACCGCACCACAAUCUUCUCCUGCUUGGCUUCGUGAAAGGGGAGCCAAAAUACCUGCACCAGUGUUAGAGCUGUUUGCACUCGCUGCUCCUCCUCCUCCAUAUCUGUCUAUGGUGUUGCUUGGAAUGUUUGAUUGUGAAUCAAGUGCCUAUUUCUGAUACGAGUUACUUUCUUGUUCUCCUAUCUUGCACACUCUGCCUCCACAAAUUUCUACAAAGCUUCUGGCAACACCUGCUUCCCAGCUCUCUAUUGCUUGCCCCCAAAAAAGCCUGAACAAAUAUAUGUUUCUCAGAUAAACGCUUCUUGGAAUCAAAGAAGGUC